CAAGGCAGAGCUGGCCUUGAACCGAUUUCAGAUCAGGAUUGUCUUCUUUUUCCUCCUCAAAUCUCUCCAAGAGCAGAGCCAGGGACACGCCAGAGCCUCGCAGUGCCACGGGGGACUGUUCUGCCCCCGCGGCCCGGCGACAGGGACCCGCCAGCACCCUCAAUCAGCACCCCGCCGAGGGACCGCGCUGCCCGCACCGCGCUGCCGCCGCCUCCCUAUAACGCGGGAUGGGUUGUGCUGGGCGUGCGCUUCUUUCCCAGGGGGAAAACACCGCCAAGGGCUUCCCUCAACCCGCCCGUCUCCACGGCGACUGCUUCCCGAUCCCGCUGCCGGGAUCCCCAAGAGUUACAAUGCCGAUGAAGUGCAUGUUGUACUGACAGGAGCCCAUUAGCAGCAAGAACUACAGCUGACACACAGCAAUAGCUCCAGGUUGACCACUUUUCAUCCUCUCUUCUCCACCUCACCAAGUGUUAAAUUCAUACGGCUUGCAUAUCCAUACUGCCCAGAAAUCUUUUACCCAGGUCCUGCCAAGCAGAGAGGACACUUGCACAAGGUUAUAAAACUAGAUUUUAAGUCACUAGAGGUUAGAUAAAGACAGAACAAAUAUUCAUGUACAUGAUGGAACAGAAGGAAGCAACAACAGAAAGAUAUAAUAGUUAAUUUACUAAACACAGUAGAAUGAGUUAAUGCUUAAACCCUUCCAAAUACCAGUCCAGCCCUGGAGUGGGUUGCUAAUUUCCCCUCCAUCACCUAUGUGUCCUAGCAAUGGAGAACUGGGAUAAACUCUUCAUGUAAUGCCACCACGGCAGCUUCUUCAGACACAGGAAUUCCCAAGACCUGGCUGUAUCCUACAAGUACACAGGACUUCAGUAUCACUGCUUGCUUCUUCCUAUUCACUCACUAUAAUUCCUCCUCUGUUGCCACAGCCUACAUUAGCUGUCAACUCCAUCAUGACAGCCAGUAAAACACUCAGUCUCUGGAUUCCUUCUGGUAAACAAAUUACUGUGCUUGCACAUUUGAGGGACUCACACACCCAACAAGGCCAAAUAAAGCCCAAGAGCUUGAUUAAUUCCUGAUCUCUAGAAAUACCCAAAGUUCCGUAAAAUCCUUGAUACAAACAAUCUGUAGGAUGUCAUGCACUGCCUUCUGCUUUCAGCAUUUGAAGCCAUGUAUUUGCUAAUAGAAUCCUUCAGUUGUUCCUACAUUGUUCUGUAUAACCUUAGCAUCUACUGGGUGGAAAGGGAAAAAGGGUAAGAGUCACUUACUAAAUGCAAUUACAGAAUGAACUUCAGGUCACAUUCUUGAAGAUGGGAAGUCUACAUACCAAGGAAGUUUGUUAGUAUGAUGUAAACUUACUGGUUACAAGAAUAAAUCAUUAGAACUACAAUAAGCUGCCAUGAAAACAAAAUACAUGGAUCUGCAGGAACAUGUAAGAGCUUUAAGAAGAAUCACAUGCCUUAUUUUACUAACACUCCCAUCUCAGAACAGGUAAACCAUAAGUCAUUUUUUCAUCAGUUAUUUGGUUUCAUCUGCAAGAAGAAAGGGACACAGUUCUGUUAAAACUCACUAGGAAAGUUCUUAUUUCAAAAGAUAAGAAGCUAACACUUCAAUACAUAACAUCACUUGCACUUUGGGGGUUUUCCUUUAUCUUUAAAAUACAGAGCUAAAUCCAGGUUCCCAAAUAGAGCUAGCAGGCUAGCACAUCAGCGCAGACAGCUGAAAGCAGACUUCUGAGUUUUGCAUUAAAUACAACAUCUCCUAUGAAAAAUAAAGAACAGUUCGUAAAAUUUUAAUGCCAAAAAAGAUUUAAUUAUUCAAAAGAAAUGGUCUCGAUACGGAAGGUCACAAUACAAAGUUCUUACACACAACACACACAAGUUGCAAAACCUUUUGUUGAUUGGAAGCAAUUGUUUAAUACAAAGACUAGAUGCCAACCAUGCUUCUCAUACAAAGCUUGACAGUGGAUUCAUGUGUUGAUUCUCUGAGAUCCCCCUCAUUUCAAAGAAAUAUUGAAUAUUAAGGUUAUGGAUGAAGUGAAUUCAACAAAUUCUGUUAUAUCUGUCUCUACCCUCAAUUUUAAGCACUAGGAUUGUGCUUCAUGAUACAAAAUGGAUUAUAAAGGCACACUGUGGUUUGAAAACAAGGCUAGAGACCCUAGUCUUUACACUUUCUGGGGUUUGUCUGGGUGUUUUAUGAACACUCAAACAUGCAGGAAAAAAUCCAGCCCUUGAGUGGGUACAGAGUGAAAAAAAUACUAAAGCUGCAAAAAAGUGUAACCCAUUUAACGUAUAAAACAGUAUUUACAUUCUUAUGUAUUUCUUAGUGUUUCCUCAGCUCCUUUGAGGUUGCACAAUUUAGAAAUGAAGUACCUCUCUCCCAGUUAUUUCUGUUAUUUCACUGACAGAACUAGCCCCAACUGCACAUUUAAGAUCAGUGUUCACCUACAUCCUUUUUGUUGGUUAUGGAAAAGGACUGGUGCGCUGUUAAGAAGUGAAAGUUUCUGACCAAGCCAGUUGCUUGCUUCUUUAACUUGCUGAAUGCUGCUUCCCAAUUUAGAAAAAAAGCUUUAAAGCAAAUGCUUGCUUAAUUUUUUAAAAGCCACUAGACUGCAAGUCUUGUGUGUCAAGUUCUGGCACAA
Melopsittacus undulatus (budgerigar) is the source of this 2638-nucleotide long non-coding RNA. RefSeq lists it as uncharacterized. NCBI's taxonomy places the organism in Eukaryota, Metazoa, Chordata, Aves, Psittaciformes, Psittaculidae. The record is from RefSeq and is a predicted model, not a curated record. The transcript has 3 exons.